RNAcentral lists this long non-coding RNA (1295 nucleotides) under Ovis aries (sheep). RNAcentral's name for it is "lncRNA (ENSOARG00000026249.1)". The record is from RNAcentral. Lineage: Eukaryota; Metazoa; Chordata; Mammalia; Artiodactyla; Bovidae.
AUGCCGCUCGCAGUGCUCCAUAAUGCUAAGAGAAGAAUAACCUUUUCAUGUGACACCUCUGUUCAAAAUCCUUUAAUAGCUCCUGUCACCAACGUAGUCCUGGCCUCAGGCUGUGGUGGGGGCGGGGUGGAGGAUCUGAAUUCUUUCAAAGGAUCUAGGAAUCCAAAUAGUUCAGGAAGGCUUGUCUGGAAGCCAGCACACAUUCCCCAGGAGGGUAAGAAAUGCUCUCAACCCCACCUGCUUCCCUGCUCUCACCAUCCUCCCCUCCCCCUAGGAAUCUGGAAUUGCUACUCCAAUUGGCUGGAUUCUCGAACGCUCAUGGGUUCUUGUCUGAUGGUGGGCAGGAGUCUCCGGGGUCUAAAGGGUACACAGUCAGGUACCCAUUUUCAGUUCUGCUCUGUGCUAUGUGACCGCUCUCACCAGAAACUGUCCCUCCUGCAAAGCCAAUACCUUCAGGCUCAGAAGUGACCUGCUUCUCUCAAACCCAAGGCUGCCCCUCCAGGGUCAAGGUCAAUUCUCACCUCCUCCAGGAAGCCUCUGGGGAUUGUCAAGCUGCACUUGUCCUCCUUAGGCUUCAAACAACUUAUUGUCUGGAAUUUAUGCUCUGGGCUGUGACUCUUCUUUCAUUUAUUGACAAUAUAUGUUUAAAUUUUAAUUUAAAAAUUGCUUGCAAGGAUCUUAGUUCCUCUACCAGGCUUGAACUGGGCCUACAGCAGUCUUAACUGCCACGCUGAGUCCUGACUACUGGGCCAUCAAGGAAUUCUCCUAAACUUUCAAUUUUUAUAAAAUUUUAAAGGUUCUGAAAGGAAGGUUGUUGCUGAGCCAUGAAAGAUGCUGGGAUUCUUGGCCUUUGGAGAAGAGGAAUUCAAUCUGGGGCCCAGCUUGAUUGCUCAGAGCUUUUGUGUAAUAAAGUUUUAUUAAAUUAUAAAAGAGAUAGAGAAAGCUUCAGACAUAGACAUCAGAAGGGGGCAGAAAGAGUGCCCCCCGGUAGCCUUUCAGUUCAGUUCAGUUCAGUCACUCAGUCAUGUCCAACUCUUUGUGACCCCAUGAAUUAUAGCACGUCAGGCCUCCCUGUCCAUCACCAACUCCUGGAGUUCACCCAAAUUCAUGUCCAUCGAGUCGGUGAUGCCAUCCAACCAUCUCAUCCUCUGUCGUCCCCUUCUCCUCCUGCCCCCAAUCCCUCCCAGCUUCAGGGUCUUUUCCAAUGAGUCAACUCUUCGCAUGAGGUGGCCAAAGUACUGGAGUUUCAGCUUUAGCAUCAUUCCUUCCAAAGAACACCCAGGACUGAUCUCCUU